CUUUGAAGCAUAUGAGAAUGACGAGCUUCGAAUGGAGAAUAGGCCAAAAGAUGUUCCGGCGUCUCACUUUAAAGAUCUUCUUGAAUAUUGGAACUCCGAUGCCGCCAAGAAAACGUCUGAAACCAAUAUCGAGAAUUGAAAAAAGUUGAAGCAUCCACACACUGCUGGCAAAACAAGUUUUGCUCGAAUCAUCGAGGAAAAAAAAGAAGGAAAUGGCUGAUACUUCGGAUACUCUAUCAAGUAAGGACAUCUUUGUGGCUACAAGAAAAAGAAAACAUGGUCGAG
Molecule: long non-coding RNA, 285 nt
Organism: Nicotiana attenuata
Lineage: Eukaryota; Viridiplantae; Streptophyta; Magnoliopsida; Solanales; Solanaceae
Exons: 3
Source: RefSeq, a predicted model, not a curated record